AACGAACGUUGGCGGCGUGGAUUAGGCAUGCAAGUCGAACGCGAAUCCCUGGGCAACUGGGGAGGAGAGUGGCGAAAGGGGCAGUAAGGCGUGGGUAACCUACCCUCCGGGCCGGGAUAGCUUCGGGAAACUGAAGGUAAUACCGGGCGACGCAGCGAGAUCGCAUGGUCUUGCUGCCAAAGGUCCGCCGCCGGGGGAGGGGCUCACGUGGUAUUAGCUAGACGGCGGGGUAACGGCCCACCGUGGCAAAGAUGCCUAGCAGGUGUGAGAGCACGACCUGCGCCACGGGCACUGAGACACUGGCCAGACACCUACGGGUGGCUGCAGUCGAGGAUCUUCGGCAAUGGGCGCAAGCCUGACCGAGCGACGCCGCGUGUGCGAUGAAGGCCUUCGGGUUGUAAAGCACUGUCGAGGGGGAGGAAGCCGCAAGGUUGACCUAUCCCUGGAGGAAGCACGGGCUAAGUUCGUG
This 469-nucleotide ribosomal RNA is filed under the name uncultured bacterium. RNAcentral's name for it is "partial 16S ribosomal RNA". It matches the Rfam family "Bacterial small subunit ribosomal RNA", at positions 28 to 507 of the family's 1533-position model. The record is from RNAcentral.